GUGAAUCAUCGAAUCUUUGAACGCACAUUGCGCUUCCUGGUAUUCCGGGGAGCAUGCUCGUUUCAGAAUCAUUUAAAACUCACAAGCCUUUGCGGCGUCUGUCGCAUUGGUGCGUGGAUAUGAGCGUAUUGGCUGGCUGGAGUCAUUGACUUCCACAAAACCAAUUGCUUUAAAAUGAUUUUGUACGAACCCUCGUUUCUUUUGUGGGCUGCCAACAAUGCGACAGUUUUUAACAGUUCAUUUUCGGCCGGUACCAUGAAAAGAGCGCGGCGUGUAUUUCUACCCUCCAAACACAUGGCA
This 300-nucleotide unclassified non-coding RNA is filed under the name uncultured fungus. RNAcentral's name for it is "sequence contains 5.8S rRNA gene, ITS2". The stretch from base 1 to 71 matches the Rfam family "5.8S ribosomal RNA", at positions 84 to 154 of the family's 154-position model. The record is from RNAcentral. Lineage: Eukaryota; Fungi.